RNAcentral lists this ribosomal RNA (253 nucleotides) under uncultured bacterium. Its description in RNAcentral is "partial 16S ribosomal RNA". It matches the Rfam family "Bacterial small subunit ribosomal RNA", at positions 524 to 776 of the family's 1533-position model. The record is from RNAcentral.
UACGUAGGGUGCGAGCGUUGCCCGGAUUUAUUGGGCGUAAAGGGCGCGCAGGCGGUACGGCACGUCCGUUGUGAAAUCGCUCGGCUCAACUGGGCGGGGUCAGCGGAUACGGCCGCACUCGAGCAAGCUAGGGGGCAAUGGAAUUCCCGGUGUAGAGGUGAAAUUCGUAGAUAUUAGGAAGAACACCAGUGGCGAAGGCGGCUCACUGGUCCGGUACUGACGCUGAGGUGCGAAAGCGUGGGGAGCAAACAGG